CCUGGCUCAGAUUGAACGCUGGCGGCAUGCCUUACACAUGCAAGUCGAACGGCAGCACGGGAGCUUGCUCCUGGUGGCGAGUGGCGAACGGGUGAGUAAUACAUCGGAACGUACCCAGGAGUGGGGGAUAACGUAGCGAAAGUUACGCUAAUACCGCAUAUUCUGUGAGCAGGAAAGCGGGGGAUCGCAAGACCUCGCGCUCUUGGAGCGGCCGAUGUCGGAUUAGCUAGUUGGUGAGGUAAAAGCUCACCAAGGCGACGAUCCGUAGCAGGUCUGAGAGGAUGAUCUGCCACACUGGGACUGAGACACGGCCCAGACUCCUACGGGAGGCAGCAGUGGGGAAUUUUGGACAAUGGGGGCAACCCUGAUCCAGCCAUGCCGCGUGAGUGAAGAAGGCCUUCGGGUUGUAAAGCUCUUUCGGCGGGGAAGAAAUGGC
This 436-nucleotide ribosomal RNA is filed under the name uncultured Azospira sp. Its description in RNAcentral is "bacterial SSU rRNA". It matches the Rfam family "Bacterial small subunit ribosomal RNA", at positions 18 to 454 of the family's 1533-position model. Lineage: Bacteria; Pseudomonadati; Pseudomonadota; Betaproteobacteria; Rhodocyclales; Rhodocyclaceae. The record is from RNAcentral.